This 430-nucleotide ribosomal RNA is filed under the name Bacillota bacterium. Its description in RNAcentral is "Firmicutes bacterium partial 16S ribosomal RNA". It matches the Rfam family "Bacterial small subunit ribosomal RNA", at positions 355 to 776 of the family's 1533-position model. Lineage: Bacteria; Bacillati; Bacillota. The record is from RNAcentral.
UGGGGAAUAUUGGACAAUGGGCGGAAGCCUGAUCCAGCCAUGCCGCGUGUGUGAAGAAGGCCUUUUGGUUGUAAAGCACUUUAAGCGAGGAGGAGGCUACUUGGAUUAAUACUCUAGGAUAGUGGACGUUACUCGCAGAAUAAGCACCGGCUAACUCUGUGCCAGCAGCCGCGGUAAUACAGAGGGUGCGAGCGUUAAUCGGAUUUACUGGGCGUAAAGCGUGCGUAGGCGGCUUCUUAAGUCGGAUGUGAAAUCCCUGAGCUUAACUUAGGAAUUGCAUUCGAUACUGGGAAGCUAGAGUAUGGGAGAGGAUGGUAGAAUUCCAGGUGUAGCGGUGAAAUGCGUAGAGAUCUGGAGGAAUACCGAUGGCGAAGGCAGCCAUCUGGCCUAAUACUGACGCUGAGGUACGAAAGCAUAGGGAGCAAACAGG